RNAcentral lists this ribosomal RNA (858 nucleotides) under Lactobacillus amylovorus. RNAcentral describes it as "bacterial SSU rRNA". It matches the Rfam family "Bacterial small subunit ribosomal RNA", at positions 383 to 1236 of the family's 1533-position model. The record is from RNAcentral. Lineage: Bacteria; Bacillati; Bacillota; Bacilli; Lactobacillales; Lactobacillaceae.
CUGAUGGAGCAACGCCGCGUGAGUGAAGAAGGUUUUCGGAUCGUAAAGCUCUGUUGUUGGUGAAGAAGGAUAGAGGUAGUAACUGGCCUUUAUUUGACGGUAAUCAACCAGAAAGUCACGGCUAACUACGUGCCAGCAGCCGCGGUAAUACGUAGGUGGCAAGCGUUGUCCGGAUUUAUUGGGCGUAAAGCGAGCGCAGGCGGAAAAAUAGUCUAAUGUGAAAGCCCUCGGCUUAACCGAGGAACUGCAUCGGAAACUGUUUUUCUUGAGUGCAGAAGAGGAGAGUGGAACUCCAUGUGUAGCGGUGGAAUGCGUAGAUAUAUGGAAGACACCAGUGGCGAAGGCGGCUCUCUGGUCUGCAACUGACGCUGAGGCUCGAAAGCAUGGGUAGCGAACAGGAUUAGAUACCCUGGUAGUCCAUGCCGUAAACGAUGAGUGCUAAGUGUUGGGAGGUUUCCGCCUCUCAGUGCUGCAGCUAACGCAUUAAGCACUCCGCCUGGGGAGUACGACCGCAAGGUUGAAACUCAAAGGAAUUGACGGGGGCCCGCACAAGCGGUGGAGCAUGUGGUUUAAUUCGAAGCAACGCGAAGAACCUUACCAGGUCUUGACAUCUAGUGCAAUCUGUAGAGAUAUGGAGUUCCCUUCGGGGACGCUAAGACAGGUGGUGCAUGGCUGUCGUCAGCUCGUGUCGUGAGAUGUUGGGUUAAGUCCCGCAACGAGCGCAACCCUUGUUAUUAGUUGCCAGCAUUAAGUUGGGCACUCUAAUGAGACUGCCGGUGACAAACCGGAGGAAGGUGGGGAUGACGUCAAGUCAUCAUGCCCCUUAUGACCUGGGCUACACACGUGCUACAAUGGGCA